RNAcentral lists this ribosomal RNA (429 nucleotides) under Gemmatimonadota bacterium. Its description in RNAcentral is "Gemmatimonadetes bacterium partial 16S ribosomal RNA". It matches the Rfam family "Bacterial small subunit ribosomal RNA", at positions 355 to 776 of the family's 1533-position model. The record is from RNAcentral. Lineage: Bacteria; Pseudomonadati; Gemmatimonadota.
UAGGGAAUCUUCGGCAAUGGACGAAAGUCUGACCGAGCAACGCCGCGUGAGUGAAGAAGGUUUUCGGAUCGUAAAACUCUGUUGUUAGAGAAGAACAAGGACGUUAGUAACUGAACGUCCCCUGACGGUAUCUAACCAGAAAGCCACGGCUAACUACGUGCCAGCAGCCGCGGUAAUACGUAGGUGGCAAGCGUUGUCCGGAUUUAUUGGGCGUAAAGCGAGCGCAGGCGGUUUCUUAAGUCUGAUGUGAAAGCCCCCGGCUCAACCGGGGAGGGUCAGUGGAAACUGGGAGACUUGAGUGCAGAAGAGGAGAGUGGAAUUCCAUGUGUAGCGGUGAAAUGCGUAGAUAUAUGGAGGAACACCAGUGGCGAAGGCGGCUCUCUGGUCUGUAACUGACGCUGAGGCCCGAAAGCGUGGGGAGCAAACAGG